UGGGGAAUAUUGCGCAAUGGACGAAAGUCUGACGCAGCCACGCCGCGUGAGUGAUGAAGGCCUUAGGGUUGUAAAGCUCUGUCGGGAGGGACGAAGGUAGUUUACUACUUGACGGUACCUCGCAAGAAAGCACCGGCUAACUCCGUGCCAGCAGCCGCGGUAAUACGGAGGGUGCAAGCGUUGCUCGGAAUCACUGGGCGUAAAGCGAGCGCAGGCGGCUAAAUAAGUCGGGUGUGAAAGCCCGGGGCUCAACCCCGGAACUGCAUCCGAAACUGUUUAGCUAGAGUACAGAAGAGGAAGGGGGAAUUCCAGGUGUAGAGGUGAAAUUCGUAGAUAUCUGGAGGAACACUCGUGGCGAAGGCGCCUUUCUGGUCUGGUACUGACGCUCAUGCUCGAAAGCGUGGGGAGCAAACAGG
Molecule: ribosomal RNA, 416 nt
Filed under: uncultured bacterium
Lineage: Bacteria
Description: bacterial SSU rRNA
Rfam family: Bacterial small subunit ribosomal RNA
Source: RNAcentral